Molecule: long non-coding RNA, 5206 nt
Organism: Sarcophilus harrisii (Tasmanian devil)
Lineage: Eukaryota; Metazoa; Chordata; Mammalia; Dasyuromorphia; Dasyuridae
Exons: 3
Source: RefSeq, a predicted model, not a curated record
UAAGGGUUACGAGACCAAGAUGGAGAACUAGAUUAGAGCAGACGUUAUUCCCUAGUCCUCAGAAACUCUCAAAAUACCCCCAGAUAAGAAUUAUAUUUAAAAGGAAGAGGAAUUGAAGUUACCUUCAAAGAACAAAACACAGAGAACUUUAACAAGGUUCCAUAUCUGUCUCAAGCUGUGGGACUUCUACUCAUCUUCUUCCUGAUUUACCAGUUCAGUAUUUAUCAAAAACAACAACAAAAUGAGCAUUCAUCGGAAGCAGCUCAGUGGUACCGUGGAAAGAGCGUUGGAUCUGGAGUCAGGAAUACAGGGAGGAAUGCUCACUCUUACUUACAUAUUUCAUUUUUGUGCAUGGGUCCUAGUCAUUCCUCAUGAAGAUUCCUGUGGAGGGCAUCUUUCCAUAAGGGCAUCUUUCAACCAGAACUUCAGUCAUCUGCAGUAGGUGUCUUAGACUAUACAGAAGAUGGACCCUCCAGAAGCCUUCUCAGCCUCUUCCAAAGGAGCCUACCCACCCUGUCUAGGCCCAGGGAGAGCUGUCAGAAAUACUUAGUUGUGCCUCUUGGGAUCCAGGAAGUAAUUGUCUUUGCAAUUCUCUACAUAUGUCCUGGUUUAUCCUUCCCAUUCUUUAUGACUAUUUUCCUGAAGUUGGAAGGCCAUAGGCUACUGUUUAGAGCCUGGCCAUGGUCAUCAGCCAGUGACCUCAGGAUGGACCAGUACCCACACUCAGGAUAAUCUCCUUACUAAAGAUUCAGUGUCAUAUCCUCUGUAUCCUGGCACCUGGAGGGUACAAAGGGUGGGGAUGAGAUAUAUGAGCAGGUAUUCACUUCCUUGCUAUUUAGAGGAAGCAUGCGACUUUGCCUUCUGUCCUCCUCAUCUUUAUGAUCCCAGGAGCAUGGUUGGGGUCCAGAAGCAGGCAUCGUGGCGAUUAGAGCCAAGGCCCCAAUGUCACAGUGGACCACAACCAUGGCCCUCAUAGCCUUUAAUCAUCUUAGCAAAUCCAUUCACAUGGCAGAAACCAACUUUGGAGAUAGUUUCGCAGAUUUUUCAAAAAGACAUGAGAAAUCAUUAGUUUACAUAUGGUAUGAAUUGAAAAUUACCCAUGUGUAAAAAUAUCCUGUACAAAAAAUAGUUCUAGUUUCCCUUAGCAGAGGCCUUCAGGUGCCUGGAGAAGCUACUAAGUGCCAGAUCAAAUGGGGAGAGAUCCAGGAGGACGGAGACCUUCUGUCCUUACCUUGUAGAGAGGGGAUGGAGCGCGUGGCCAGACUGUAACUGCUUUCAAACAGACAUCCUGGACCCGCAGGGACCUCUGAGGGCUGAUCACCUGGUCAAGUGCUUGGCGGAGGCGCGAGGAGGUGAGCCUCGGCUUGGGCUCCCGCUCGGGUCAUGAAUGCUAGCAGUCACUUCGGGUUCCUAUGUCAGUGGGGAGUAUUGUCCAGCCUUAUGUACUUUGAAGCAGACAGCAUGGGGAUAUUGGUAGAGGCCUCAUUGUCUAGCUAGGUAGUGGCCAUUGUCCUAUAUGUGCAUGUGCCAACUCCAUUAAUUCCGAGUUUCUAGUUGAUAAGGUGACUAGGCCCUGCCUGUGGCCCCGGAGCUCUGACCGUUCAUAGCCCUCUUCUUGCCCGGGGGCAAGCCGAUUCCACAUUUGACACACUUGGUUUGCAAUAUAUAGAACCACAGAGUCCUUUUUGGGGGUGCACGUACCUGACUGCCCCGAUAAUGAACAUUUCUCCUUUUUUAGCAGGAAUGUUUUAUUUGCGUGUUUUGUUGUCGUACAUGGUUCAUAGAAGUCAUUCCUUAUUAAGAUUCCAGGGGUGUCUUUCCUUAAGUGAGUCCUGCUUCCAGUCGGGAAUCUCAGGCAUCUUCAUUGGAUGUCACAACCCACACACAUGAUGGACUCUCCAGAGGCCUUCUCAGCUUCUUCCAAUGGAGUCCACCUAGCCUAGGCCCAGGAUGAACUGUCAGGAAGGCCCAGUCGCGCCUCUGGGGGGGCAGCCUGUCCCGGAGGCAGGGGAGAGAACCUUCCUUGCUAUGGUGGUUUUCCUCCUCAGAAGGCAGGAUGUCUCCAUAUCCAGAGCUCAGAAGGUCAGCAUCAGCCUCACCCCGUAUACCCCAAGGCCCCGAGCCAUGGAGUUGGUGCUGUGAGAGCAGCCCAGGGAGAGAGAGAGAGGCAAGCUUCUUAUACUUGUCUUUAAAGGUCAAGGGUCACAUCCUUUUCUUGGGGGCUGGGGCACAGGCUACAGUCAGGGUUGUUAGGGGCAGAGGGGAGGGGGAGGCCCGACCCCGCCUCUCUGAUAGCCGACCAGGGAUUCCUGGAGCCAGGGGCCUCGCCUUGGAUCUCUAGGUCAGUCCUUAUGGUGGCACGCCCCUCAGCCCAGAGUCGUCUUAGGGCAUUCCAGUGGGUCCUGGGCUCCGCUCCCUGACGGGAACUGACGGGGCCGGGGUGGGCUGGGGCGGCACGGCGGGAGGGGAAGCAGGAAUAGAGAGGGAGAGGCCCGGCCCUCUUGGCUAGGCUGUCCUCCCCAAGGGGAGGAGGAGAUCUAGGAGGUCAUUGUCUUUGCAACCUUCCACACAUUUCCCACUUGGAAAGACAGUGCGUGGGGAUGGCAGCAAUCUGAGAAGGGCAGCCAAAGCCGGGGACAAGGCCAGGUCCCCCGGGUUGGUCAGAGGCAGAACUCGGGCGGCCCAGCUCCCUUUGUCCUCUCUUAGUGGUGGUGGUGACUUUCAAGGAGCCACAGUGGGCACAGCAGGGCCUCUGGGGGCUAAUUAUGAGCGUCCUGGUCAGGGCCUGUUCUUGGGACUGAGCAGGGAUCAGCCGAGGAGGCAAGCCAAGCCAAGGCCUCUACACAUCUCCUGGAUGCCAGCAGCCACGUUGGGUUCUAGCCUUAGGGGGGGAGCGGUGCAGCCGAGCAUUAUAUACUUUGAAGCAGAUACCAUGGUGAUGUCAGGGGACUCCUCAGUGUCUAGCUGGGUAGCAGCUGUUGUCCUGGACGGGCACACGUCGGCACCAUCAUUUCUGAGUCUAGUUGAGGUGAUUGGGCCCUGCCUCUGGCCCAGGAGUUGUUGCCUCCUCUAGUGGUUCUAAUAUUGCCAGAGGCCGGAACCAUUCCACAAAUGGCAGCCCCUGUCCCUCGCCCUCCUGCCCAGGGGAGGACUUCUCAGGCCAUGCCCCCUGAGGGGCUGAGGGAUGGACAGGAAGGGGAACAAGGAGGGAGAGCAGAUAGGCACAUCCCAGGAUGGGGGUCUGGGGAGGCUAUUCUGAGACUAGACCCCCCCCCCUUCCCUCAUGCCGCUGUCUGCCCUACAAGAGGAUGACGUCCUGAUUCUUUAAAGGGCUGUUCCCUGUGGGUGAUAGCGAUCCUUUUAGUUAAUUUAAUUGAAGAACUUGGAUUGAUGAGUGUUCUAACAGUACAAACCCAUCUACACCUUCUGAUCCUUUCAACUGUAGUCCAUGUCCACCUAUAAAUCAGCCAUAAGGAGAUCACACGCUGUGGGGCUGCCUUCAGAUCUCUUGAUACAAUGUAUGUACCAAGGGAGCACAAAGAUUUCAUUGAUCCAGUAAUUCCUUUCAUUAUUGGCCCAUUUACUCUUUUGGGGCUACAUCUUUUUAAGAUGUUUGCCCAGCAUAAUUCUUUAUUGGUAACCUGCUGCAGUCUAUUUACAGGCCUCAUGUAGCUUCCCAUUGGCCUUUGGAUGACUUCCAACUUUCUUUGGAAAUUAUAGUAUUCUAAGCUUUAUGUCUCUAUUGCAUCAGAAGAUGACUUUUAAGCUUUUCUAAUACAAAUAAAAGUAAAACAAAGCCAGAUGCUGAAAAUCUAAGAACCCAGAGGAGAGAGGAAGAAAUAGCUCACUGGGGGAAAGUGAGAAACAAUGGUAGGACUGGAUACACUAUCAAAUAAAGAUAGAAUUGGUUUGUUUAAUCAUUUUUCUUUACUACUAGGGAAGGCUCUCUUUGGCAGAAGGGAGAAGUAAUAUAUCCCAAAACUAUGUUAAAUAUAAAAAUAACAAAUAGAACUUUAAAAAGGAAUUAGUUGUGUUUUUAAAGUGGGCCUUGAAACAAUUCAAAAGCUUGGGGUGGGGGGGGUACUAAAAGCAUUUAGCAAUUUCCCAAAGGCAGUUCAGCUUACUACUUUUUAGUUCUAGGCCCAGCUCAUUGCUCUGUAUAGUGCUUUACAAGAUAUAUGUAAUGAUACACCAACUUUAGAGAUUAUCCAUCUCCAUAUUCUGGAUAUAUUCUCAUUUUACAGAUGAGGAAACUGAGGCUCUGGGAAGUUAAUACAGUUAUAAAAUCUCAAAAAGGAUUUGGACCAUAGUUUCUUGAUCAAAGGCUAACACUCUUAUCCACUAUUCUGUAUUGGCCUUUCAAUUCUCUUUUCCUCCUUGAUUUAAUGCUUAAAAUGGUUUCUGUAACAUUCUGCUAUAAUAAUUAGCUUGUUUUAAGCUUGUGGGCAGUUAAGAUGGCACAGUGCAUAGAGCAAUGGGCCUGGAGUCAGGAAGACAUCUUCUAAAUUCAAAUCUGGCCUCAGACACUUGCUGUGUGACCCUGAGGCAGGUCACUUAAAAACUUUUUGCCCCAGUCUCCUCCUCUGUAAAAUGAGCUGGAGAAGGAAAUGACCAACCACUCAGGUAUACUUGCCAGGAAUCCCCCAUGUGGAGUCACAGAAGUGGACAUGACUGAAAAUGAAAGAUGUCAAAGAUAUGCCAGGCCUAAAUUCUUCAAGGAAUGGUCUUUAUUGAUUUCCCCUUUUACCUCCAAAUCACUUAUGUUUUAUUUUGUGUAUAUCCUGUGGGUGAUUAUCUGUGAAUACAUUGUAUUCCCCAAGUAGAAUGUAAGUUCCUUGAGGGUAAGGUCUGUCACACUUUUGUAUGUGCUUAAUAAAUGCUUGCCCCUGAGGUGAGCAAACUCGAACCUUACCAUGGAAUGGCUAUCUCUUAUCUUCGUUGCUUAAAGGAUUGGGUGCACAGGACUUUGUUUCUCGAUAAGUCUGGACAUCUUGGAGCUUGAGGUUGAUUUCAUUGGUUAAGGAUAUUGUGGAAUCAGAAUAAACCCUUUGAACUGGGUCUAUAAAUGAGGAUAUCUUAAAGCAGUCAGUGGGUGGAGAGAGAACAGAGCACACGAACAAGUAUAGAUACCUAGGAUCCUGGGCCAGAGUGAGCUGAAAUUUUGACCUAGUUUUCACAAGAAAGUGAUAUUAAGCAUCAAUUUGUC